CAGUAACUUCCAUUACAUGGAUUAACAGUAGUUGUUACAUCGCAUUGGUGAAGAAGUACUCAAUGUCACUUACGCAAGUGGUUUGAAUGUGGUAAUUCAUCAAUUGGAUAAUGUGAUACAAUAUAAUUGCUUCUCAAUAGUUUACUGCUAUGUGUUAUAGUUUAUGCUACUUUAUUAUUUGAUUAUGCUCUUUCUUACUAUAACAACAAAAUUAUGAUCAAAGUCACCAUUCUGUUAAUGAUGCCUUCUCCAUUUAGUGCUCGAAUUAUUAAUGUGAUCUCACAACUGGAAAAACUUAAUGACAUAUGGAAUGUAAGUGUCUUACACUUCCUUUUCAUUAUUCUUCUUCUUCAUACUUUUCAUGUAAUUGGUUUAUAAAUUAAUAUUUCCCUGAUAUAAAGCAGUUUGGCUACAAUUCCAGCUCAAUAAUUCUGACAGACAAGUGAACUGACUCUAAGACAAAUCAAAGAGUUGAAGAAUAUAGUAAUUGAUAACGGUUCCUCAACAAUGGUAUUGUCACCCUUUCUAUCCAUAGACCAGCUGCUCCUUCUGCUUCUUCAUCUGUCUAAGACCAGAGUUACGUUCUUUUGAGUGAAGAACUGGGCAUGUAUGAGUGUUAUGCUGCUCUUUUUUCAUAUUAGAACAAUGGUGGACACGAAGAAUUUUCCCAAUUAAAGAAUCUAUGCACUAUUCAGGUCUGUUAAAGAUGUGAAUAACCAUCCAACUAUUAGACAUGAAGCAGUCAAACUGUUGGUUCUCAUAGCAGAUGCGGAACAUAUUACACUUCUUGAAGAUUUUUCCAAUACUAUACGGUCAGUUGUCAUACAAGACGGCAUAUUCUCAUAGAGUAUUGACAAAGAUCUCAUGUUUUGGAAAUCUUCAGAGAAUCGGUUAUGUGGAUUGCAACAGAUUAUAAGUUGGAUUUUUCAUCAUUCUAUUGGAAAUGAAAGAAAGUAUAAAGUGAGGAGAUGCAAAGCAAUGUGAGUAAUGAAGGAUCAGGUA
Nicotiana tabacum (common tobacco) is the source of this 1002-nucleotide non-coding RNA. The record is from RefSeq and is a predicted model, not a curated record. Lineage: Eukaryota; Viridiplantae; Streptophyta; Magnoliopsida; Solanales; Solanaceae.